Molecule: ribosomal RNA, 661 nt
Filed under: Vibrio sp. CCH-64
Lineage: Bacteria; Pseudomonadati; Pseudomonadota; Gammaproteobacteria; Vibrionales; Vibrionaceae
Description: bacterial SSU rRNA
Rfam family: Bacterial small subunit ribosomal RNA
Source: RNAcentral
UAACACAUGCAGAUCGAGCGGAAACGACACUAACAAUCCUUCGGGUGCGUUAAUGGGCGUCGAGCGGCGGACGGGUGAGUAAUGCCUAGGAAAUUGCCUUGAUGUGGGGGAUAACCAUUGGAAACGAUGGCUAAUACCGCAUGAUGCCUACGGGCCAAAGAGGGGGACCUUCGGGCCUCUCGCGUCAAGAUAUGCCUAGGUGGGAUUAGCUAGUUGGUGAGGUAAUGGCUCACCAAGGCGACGAUCCCUAGCUGGUCUGAGAGGAUGAUCAGCCACACUGGAACUGAGACACGGUCCAGACUCCUACGGGAGGCAGCAGUGGGGAAUAUUGCACAAUGGGCGAAAGCCUGAUGCAGCCAUGCCGCGUGUAUGAAGAAGGCCUUCGGGUUGUAAAGUACUUUCAGUUGUGAGGAAGGGUGUGUAGUUAAUAGCUGCGCAUCUUGACGUUAGCAACAGAAGAAGCACCGGCUAACUCCGUGCCAGCAGCCGCGGUAAUACGGAGGGUGCGAGCGUUAAUCGGAAUUACUGGGCGUAAAGCGCAUGCAGGUGGUUCAUUAAGUCAGAUGUGAAAGCCCGGGGCUCAACCUCGGAACUGCAUUUGAAACUGGUGAACUAGAGUACUGUAGAGGGGGGUAGAAUUUCAGGUGUAGCGGUGAAAUGC